AGUGAACGCUGGCGGUAGGCCUAACACAUGCAAGUCGAACGGCAGCACAGUAAGAGCUUGCUCUUACGGGUGGCGAGUGGCGGACGGGUGAGGAAUACAUCGGAAUCUACUUUUUCGUGGGGGCUAACGUAGGGAAACUUACGCUAAUACCGCAUACGACCUACGGGUGAAAGCAGGGGAUCUUCGGACCUUGCGCGAUUGAAUGAGCCGAUGUCGGAUUAGCUAGUUGGCGGGGUAAAGGCCCACCAAGGCGACGAUCCGUAGCUGGUCUGAGAGGAUGAUCAGCCACACGGGAACUGAGACACGGUCCAGACUCCUACGGGAGGAAGCAGUGGGGAAUAUUGGACAAUGGGCGCAAGCCUGAUCCAGCCAUACCGCGUGGGUGAAGAAGGCCUUCGGGUUGGAAAGCCCUUUUGUUGGGAAAGAAAAGCAGCAGGUUAAUACCCCGCUGUUCUGACGGUACCCAAAGAAUAAGCACCGGCUAACUUCGUG
Molecule: ribosomal RNA, 492 nt
Filed under: uncultured bacterium
Lineage: Bacteria
Description: partial 16S ribosomal RNA
Rfam family: Bacterial small subunit ribosomal RNA
Source: RNAcentral